UUGGGAAUUUGGUAUUUAGGAUUGGGCAUUUAAUCAUUUAGCCAUUUAGGAUUGAGGAUUGGGGAUUUGGGGAUUUAGGAUUGGGCAUUUGAGGAUUGAGGAUUGGGGAGUGUAUGCAAAUUAGGAGGCGUGGCCCAAAUACUGGAGGCUGGGUUUGAAAUGGCUGGUGCGCAGAGGCACCUUAUGGACAGCAGAGGGAGCUCCCAGUGCUAAGGAACACACUGUAAUGAAACCAAACGGAGCAAGUGAGCGGCUUGAGCGAGGACUGUGUGAUAACUUCAACUUAAUGACAGCUUUGUAACAUUUGUGGCCUCAAACACAAAGUCACCAGUGAAAGGAGUGCUAUCGUUCUGACGACGAAAAAGCAGCAGACAGACAGUGCAGCAGAUGUUUCACCUGGACAUGAAGGACCACUUGUUGUCACAGCUUUGGGUCAGAGAUUUGCUGCAGUGUUUCCAGAAGUGCUCAC
Long non-coding RNA from Carassius auratus (goldfish), 469 nucleotides. RefSeq lists it as uncharacterized. NCBI's taxonomy places the organism in Eukaryota, Metazoa, Chordata, Actinopteri, Cypriniformes, Cyprinidae. The record is from RefSeq and is a predicted model, not a curated record. The transcript has 2 exons.